GCAUCCCUCGCUGGCGGCCUCGCCCUCUCUCCCUGGGAGGUGUUGGUCACUCCAAUCACGGCUCCGGCGCGAGGCUCCGCCCACAUUCCCACCUCCCGUCAGUCCCCGACGGCUCCGCGGGCGCGCGGGCUGGCGCGGUUCCCUGCCGGCUACUUAGGGGCUGGGGUUAGGAGAAGGCGGCCGCCGGGCCCCUCAGGCCUUCCGCCCUCCGGGUUCUCCGCGGGCUGGGCGGUUCCGGAGGCCGGCACCCCGCUCCUUCCCGAGCCCAGCACGGUGCGCGGGAUGAGCGGGGAGGCUCUGGCUCCGAGCGCUGCCCAGCUUGCGGCCACCUCUGCCGCGGGAUCCCUGGUCGAGGCUGCCGUCCGGACGCGUAGCUCUUCCCCCGGGUCGCAAACCUCCGGGGCCACGCCCUCCGGCCUAGGUUCCUCGGCCCCGGAGGUUGGGACAGUCCUGCAGUGUGGGUUCCUGGAAUUCGAAUGUCUCCAGAGGAACCCACAGGGAUUGAGAUACAGUCUGGGAGUUGGGGCACAUGGAGUCCGAAGCCUUACCGACUGCUUGUGCUAUUGGUUUCAGAGAGGAAAAGCAGCUCAGCUCCGUGGCCAAAGCCGUCACGGCUCUCCUGGCUCUUCUGACUGAGCCAGGGCCUUUUGCAAAGGGAGGCAGCUUCACACUUGAGUGCUCUCAGAGGAGUCAAAGCUGUGGGCUGCCCCUGUCACGGAUACCUUCAUCCUUCCAAGGACACUUGGAAAUAAGCCUAGGCUGCCUUCAAGGCCUUGAAUGAUUCUGUGUUGCUAAGACUAUUACUAAAGAUACGGCCAGGCCAGCCAGUACUGAUCCCAGUCCUCUGACUUUAAGCUGCACCUGACUGCUGGACUCUCAGAUGCUGUCUUCCUAGCUGGACAACUAUGUGCAGUUUUUUUUUUUAAUUAAAAUAUUACAUAAUAUAGUAUUAUAUAUCAUUUAUAAUUUUGACACUAUAUUAUAUAAUAAAUGACUACAGAAAAUAAAACUCAGUAAGAUCAUCAUUACCCUGAGGACAGUUUUGAUAUUUUGAUACAUUUCCUUCUAAUAUUUUUAAAUUCACAUAUAUACUUCAGAAGUUGAACCACACUACAUACAAUCUUGUAUCAUUUUUUCCCCAUUUAAUAUUAAAUGUAAACAUUAUGACAUCAUACAUUCUUUGAAAAAUAAUUUUAGAGGCAGCACAACAUCUCAUCAUCUGGAUGUAACCAUCUUUAUUUAACUAGCUCCAAAUCUUUACCGCAUCCAGAGAGCAGAAGAGAUAAAGUAAAGGUUCAUUUCUGCAGAGCACCACCAGGGGUCAGCCCAAAGCCAAAGAGAUACUACAAGCAUGCCCUGAUGUAGAAAAUCAGUGACGCGACAAUCCACAUUAAUAAAUUACAUUAGAUUAGCAGAGGCCUAUUCACUUGAGUCGCCAAGUUCCCUUCAAGAACGGGCUCACUUAGUACAGAUUUCUCAGAUUAGAAAUGAUUAGAUUCCUUCCAGUUAAUUUAUAUCCUACAGUUCCAAAACAGCUAUUUUAUAAACCAAUGUCUAUAAAGACAAGGUGUGGUAUUAGAUUUGUUCUCACCUGCUUAGUAUGAAUGCAUAGAAUUGGGCUAUUUUGUAAGCUUUUUUUAGGAAAAUCAAAUAACAGAUAAAAGUAUCUUAUAAAUUAUGAAGCAGCAUAUAAACUUCAAGGUCCUUGAUUCUGAUGUGUUUCUCAGAUAUUUGGAUGGAAUAUCUCCUACAAAAACUAAAGAAUCCUGGCUAGUAUGAUUAUGCAAUGAGGUAUAAGAGCAUAUAUUUUGGCAUGCAAUCAUGGAUUCCUUCAUUGGUUGCCCACCCCCGCAACCCCUGGCCCUGCUCUCCAACUGUUGAAGUCACUGUAGAAUUAGUGAUCUGUUUUUUCUAGAAGCUCAAGUUAUGUAUAGUCAAAUUGAUCUUAGUUGUUUUCCAUCUUUUUUUGCCUGAAGCUCCUUCAGGAUAAUUACUCUGAGCCCAGAACUGGCUGGAACAACUAAUAAGUAGGUGGGUAACAAGGAUCCCAAAGCCACUCCUGACCUGACAUGCUUAACAGGCUCCACCAAAGGUGGCUGGCACUCCUGGCCUCUCUAAAGCUAGAAGUGACUAUGAGGAUACUUCAAAAAGAAAAAUGGAAUUAGAAAAUGAGUUUACUGGCCGGCACCGCAGCUCACUAGGCUAAUCCUCCACCUUGCGGCGCUGGCACACCGGGUUCUAGUCCCGGUCGGGAUGCCGGAUUCUGUCCCGGUUGCCCCUCUUCCAGGCCAACUCUCUGCUGUGGCCCAGGAGUGCAGUGGAGGAUGGCCCAAGUGCUUGGGCCUUGCAUCCCAUGGGAGACCAGGAGAAGCACCUGGCUCCUGCCUUUUGGAUUAGCGUGGUGCAUCGGCCGCAGUGCGCCGGCCGUGGCGGCCAUUGGAGGGUGAACCAACGGCAAAAAGGAAGACCUUUCUCUCUGUCUCUCUCUCUGUCACUGUCCACUCUGCCUGUCAAAA
Molecule: long non-coding RNA, 2516 nt
Organism: Oryctolagus cuniculus (rabbit)
Lineage: Eukaryota; Metazoa; Chordata; Mammalia; Lagomorpha; Leporidae
Source: RefSeq, a predicted model, not a curated record